AGUGCAGUGAGCCUAGUACCUCUUUACACACUCCCCUGGCAAAGAGCAAUUCCCUCAAAAUUGCUUUCCUGUUGCUCCGCACACCCCACCAUCCUCCCCACGCUUAAGACUUGGGCGAACAUACGGGAGGCUGAGAGUCUUUCCCCUCACCCAUCUCCACUCUAUCCCAUCACCUACAACCCACUAUUCCCCCCUGGUAUGCAACCCGGGAUAUACCAAC
This is a non-coding RNA of Pelobates cultripes (western spadefoot toad), 220 nucleotides long. The record is from the annotation of a GenBank genome assembly. NCBI's taxonomy places the organism in Eukaryota, Metazoa, Chordata, Amphibia, Anura, Pelobatidae.